Long non-coding RNA from Pygocentrus nattereri (red-bellied piranha), 2374 nucleotides. RefSeq lists it as uncharacterized. The transcript is spliced from 5 exons. Lineage: Eukaryota; Metazoa; Chordata; Actinopteri; Characiformes; Serrasalmidae. The record is from RefSeq and is a predicted model, not a curated record.
CCUCUCUCUCUCUCUCUGUCUGUCUCUCUGUCUGUCUGUCUGUCUAACUCUCUCUGUGGUGUCAUAAUUGAGAGAGUGGUGUGGCCCAGGAGUCCAGCAUGUAAUCCACACUAUAAGCACUCUCUAAUUGAAGUGCAAACUCAAUACUCCCGUAUCAGUCCUUCUCUCUCUCUCUCUCUCUCUCUCUCUCUCUCUCUCUCUCUCUCUCUCUCUCUCUCUCUCUCUCUCUCUCUCUCUCUCUUCUAAUUGGUAAUUACACACAAUGCCUAGCAAUCCAAUCACUGCAGUGAACACAACAAACAAACAAUCAAACUAAAAGAUAAAUAUAACUGAACUGCUUCCUGUGUUUGGUUUAGGGUGGGAUGAAUGAUUAAAAUAAAUAAAUAAAAAAAAAACAAGUAGGACUAAAACCCACCACAACGCCUCAUUCCAGAGAAGAUUAAUUUCAUAUUGCUCGCUCUCUUUUCUUCAUUUUCUUCAUCCCUCACUUGGCAUUCGUUUAGUUGUGUCCCUGGUGUGUGUUCCCGUUACAGUCUCCCUCUUUAAUGUGCAGGUAACCCAAUUCCUCUCUGAAGAUGUCUAAUUAUUUUUCCGAAGAGCAGUGAAGUGGUAAGCGAUCCGUGGGCACAUCGGCUGACGUGGGCAGGCAAAUGGUCUCUAUGGAGCUUAAUCUUCCUGUUGACCAUGUGCUUAUUUGGGUCUAAUUCCGUUAGACCUGCCACCUUGCCAACACAGAAGUGAACUCAAUGCCAACUCUGCAUCACUGAACUGGCAUCAGCCUUGCGAGAGGGCAUUAUAGUGAAUCACACAGCAGCACGGACAUAACCCAAAGCCACUCUAAUGGAUUCCAAACUGACACUGAGCCGUUUCCAGGCAUCAGCCAGGAAGCACAUCAUGACGACGGCAAAUGAAAGCCAGCAAGAUCUUCCCCACCCACGCCUGGCUGACAGGUGUCCUGUGCAGCAACCGACAAGAACUAAGGAACGCUGAGAGAAAGUGGAGAAAAUGCCAGCUUGACUCAGAUCUUCACUUCUACCAAUAUCAUCUUUCCAAGUUCUUACUUGAAGUUACUGCUGCAAAGUCAUCUUUCUACAGAGGGAAACUGAAAGCAUCAACAUCUGAUCCGCACAAGCUCUUCAGCAUCUUCUCCUCUCUCCUCAGCCAUCCUCCUCCCCCUCCACCCUCUUCUCUCACCCCUCUUUGAGGAGAAGGUUGACAGAAUCCAUCAGUCUUUUCUGUCUGUCCUCACUCCUUCCACUAGACAUCCUCCUCUCAUUCUCAAUCCCUUAAACUGUUUUUCUUAUCUUUCCACAGAUGCUGUCCUUCAACUGAUCAAAUCCAUUAACCCAACCACCUGUCCAUUGGAUCCCAUCCCAUCUGCAUUGUUCUAGUCAAUCUCCAAGGACCUACUGCCCUUAAUCACUUUGCUCAUUAACAAGUCCUUGUCAUCAGAACCAGCUCCAGGACCCCAACCAGUCUGGCUUCAAACCAGCACACUCAACAGAAACUGCUCUUAUAGCAGUGAACGUGAAGCUCCAGUCAGCAAAAUCAGCCAAACUGUUAUCUGUCCUGAUUUUUCUUGACCUAUCAGCAGCUUUUGACACGACAACCAUACAAUUCUUCUUGAUGUCCUAUCUGGAGGAUCGCUCUUAUCAGGUUUCCAGUUGCAUCUCGGCAUAUCUGUCUGACAUUUCUUCAUGGAUGGCAGUUCACCACCUGAAGCUCAAUCCUAGCAAGACUGAGCUGCUAUUCAUCCCUGCAACUACAGGUCCUCAUCAUGAUCUUGCUAUCUCAUUCUGGUUGUUCUGUCUGUAGAGGAAAGAAGUCUUGGUGUGAUUCUAGAUGGCUAGUUAUUGUUCUCAACUCACAUGGCGAACCUAACUCAGUCAUGCAGAUUUCUCCUGUAUAACAUCUGGAGGAUCCAACCCUUUAUUGUAUUUUAUUGUGUUGCUCUGUUCUGUGUUCAACUCUGUUCCUUUUUUUAUGGGUAUCAACAGUAACUUUUUAUUUCUAGCAGUAUCUGAGCUCAGGACUUGCUUUCUCUCUAACCUAUUGGUAACUAACAAAGAUUCUUUCUCUAGAAAGGCAAAGCACUUCUUGUAAGUCGCUCUGGAUAAGUGCAUCUGCUAAACGCUGUAAAUGUAAAUCUAAGUCAGAACUCUUGAGAAACUCUGACCUUCUAUUUCUAUGUUAUACUCUAUUUGUUUAUGAUAUUGCUAAACAUUUAUAUUUGUUGUUUGAAUAAUUAUAUUUUUAGCCAUUGGUUGUAAAAUGAGAUUAUUAAUCAAACUGCAUGCCUGCGUGACUUUUUGUUGGCACUAUGUUGACAUUGGAUUUCCAUAUCCUAUCUUCACAUUUAAAACAAAACAAGCAA